ACACGUCAACACAGAAAAGUUUAGUUUUCGAACGGACUUGCUCUGCUGCUUGGACGUUGAAGGCCUGCUGGCAAUCCAAUCACUGUCAGCUCCUUUUAAAUUCAUUAGCAGGAACUAUGCAAAACUGGCCUCAGUUUGAUAAGAUUGAACUGUUGCCAAAGAUGCCAUUAUUUUUCCAGCUUCUAAUUGUCCAAUGAACCGGACUGUCUCGUCCAAGAGGCACAUCACCGAAUGACA
Molecule: unclassified non-coding RNA, 237 nt
Filed under: uncultured Agaricomycetes
Lineage: Eukaryota; Fungi; Basidiomycota; Agaricomycetes
Description: sequence contains ITS2
Source: RNAcentral